This 461-nucleotide ribosomal RNA is filed under the name uncultured Alphaproteobacteria bacterium. RNAcentral's name for it is "bacterial SSU rRNA". It matches the Rfam family "Bacterial small subunit ribosomal RNA", at positions 9 to 506 of the family's 1533-position model. Lineage: Bacteria; Pseudomonadati; Pseudomonadota; Alphaproteobacteria. The record is from RNAcentral.
GAGUUUGAUCGUGGCUCAGAACGAACGCUGGCGGCAUGCCUAACACAUGCAAGUCGAACGGGAUCCAGGCUUCGGCCUGGUGAGAGUGGCGGACGGGUGAGUAACGCGUGGGAACCUGCCCAGAGGUACGGAAUAACAGUUGGAAACGACUGCUAAUACCGUAUGAGCCCGAGAGGGGAAAGAUUUAUCGCCUUUGGAGGGGCCCGCGUCAGAUUAGGUAGUUGGUGGGGUAAAGGCCUACCAAGCCUACGAUCUGUAGCUGGUCUGAGAGGAUGAUCAGCCACACUGGGACUGAGAUACGGCCCAGACUCCUACGGGAGGCAGCAGUGGGGAAUAUUGGACAAUGGGGGCAACCCUGAUCCAGCAAUGCCGCGUGAGUGAUGAAGGCCUUAGGGUUGUAAAGCUCUUUUGCCAGGGACGAUGAUGACGGUACCUGGAGAAUAAGCCCCGGCUAACUUCGU